Rhagoletis pomonella (apple maggot) is the source of this 1237-nucleotide long non-coding RNA. RefSeq lists it as uncharacterized. The transcript is spliced from 2 exons. NCBI's taxonomy places the organism in Eukaryota, Metazoa, Arthropoda, Insecta, Diptera, Tephritidae. The record is from RefSeq and is a predicted model, not a curated record.
GCUGUUGGCCGGCUGCCUGAGCAAGAACAGGCUGUUGCGCGAAUGAUACCGCUGCUGUUGGGGUUUGUGGUGAGAUAGGCUGCUGCUGAUGAUUAUCAUAGAUGGGUUUUGCUUCUGCUACGUCCUCUACUAUGGUGGAAUUAGGACCGAUUCUUGCGGCGUUGCUAACAGCGAACUUUGAUGAUGUCUGUUAAGAAAAUAAAUGAUGUUAAGAAACUGUAUCUAAGUUGGCGUCAUCAACUCUGCUACGAUCUUUUGCAAAUAGUUUGUGUGCCUUUGCUUUCAGCUCCUUGGGGUGUGGUGUAUUUUGCCUGACAAACGGUGUGUCCUUCUCCUGCGUUGAUUCCUCAGAAAAUUUUACGGAAUGUGUUCUUGAGGCUUCUCGCUCUUCCCAGCCAUCCGAAUCAGUUUCAAGCUCGCGAGCUAAGAUUAAUAAAGAAUAACGACAACAUGUUUAAAAAGCUCUUAUUAAAUAGUUUUCGCAGAUUAUUAUUAUUUUUUUAAUUAUUUAAUGCUUGCAAUUGUUAUAAAUGAGAUUAAUUUUAGAGUUUUCACACAUUUCUACGUGCAUGCAUUCGCAUUGCCAAUAUACAGGUUAUAACCACAUUUGUACACAUAAAUGUAUGUACACAUGUAUGUAUACAUGAAGUACUAGAUAUUUACGAAAAAGGCAUUUUGAGCUAUUUUUAAUAAAGUAUGUAUUUAAUAGUUAGUAUGUAAUAGCCAAACAGGUGUCAACACAACAAAGCAAUUUCAGCCAACAGCAUACAGUCAAGUAAGUUAUUACAUUUGUAAUGGUAUGAGAAAAACUGCUUAGCACAACAUUUUAGCUAUUCAUAUUUAUGCAUAUUUUCAGGUAUCCAAAAGUGGUUUAUUUGUUUGAGUACUAGUAUAUUGGUGUUGUCACUGCGUUUUAAGAGGGAGACGUAACUUGGGAAUUGCAUAACCUGCGCUCACUUAUGUAUAAAUUGGCACAGGUUUUACAUAUCAACGUGAUAAGCACAUCUAUUCAUACGUUCAUUAAUGUGUACGUUUCACAGAAUCACUUGUGCUAACAUAGAAACUUGUGGCAUAUAUAAAGGCUGUGGUGACCUAUUGUUCUGCUUUAAAUUUUUCUUUUAUUAUUUAACUAAAUUACGUUCCCAUCUCGGCGUUAUGAGCGCUUUAAUGAAGAUUUAUGUACAUAAAUACGUAUGUUGUUAUGCUUAGCGUGAAUAAACUGUUUUUACCGCCCGUA